GACGAACGCUGGCGGCGUGCUUAACACAUGCAAGUCGAACGGAAAGGCCCUGCUUUUGUGGGGUGCUCGAGUGGCGAACGGGUGAGUAACACGUGAGUAACCUGCCCUUGACUUUGGGAUAACUUCAGGAAACUGGGGCUAAUACCGGAUAGGAGCUCCUGCUGCAUGGUGGGGGUUGGAAAGUUUCGGCGGUUGGGGAUGGACUCGCGGCUUAUCAGCUUGUUGGUGUGGUAGUGGCUUACCAAGGCUUUGACGGGUAGCCGGCCUGAGAGGGUGACCGGCCACAUUGGGACUGAGAUACGGCCCAGAAUCCUACGGGAGGCAGCAGUGGGGAAUAUUGCACAAUGGGCGGAAGCCUGAUGCAGCAACGCCGCGUGCGGGAUGACGGCCUUCGGGUUGUAAACCGCUUUCGCCUGUGACGAAGCGUGAGUGACGGUAAUGGGUAAAGAAGCACCGGCUAACUACGUG
Molecule: ribosomal RNA, 468 nt
Filed under: uncultured bacterium
Lineage: Bacteria
Description: partial 16S ribosomal RNA
Rfam family: Bacterial small subunit ribosomal RNA
Source: RNAcentral